Long non-coding RNA from Mustela lutreola (European mink), 1496 nucleotides. RefSeq lists it as uncharacterized. The transcript is spliced from 3 exons. Lineage: Eukaryota; Metazoa; Chordata; Mammalia; Carnivora; Mustelidae. The record is from RefSeq and is a predicted model, not a curated record.
UGGGAGUAACAUACUGAACAGGGCAGACAGAGUCCCUGGCGUCCUGGGGCUUCCAUUCUGACUGGGAAGACAGCAAGAGGGCACUUAGAGUUCGAAGACCACGGCUGCAGGUGUCUCUCUCACUUAGUCACAGCAGCAGGACACCACACAGCUCACCACACAGCAGGACAAUGAGGAGGGUCUUAGAGCACCUGGGAUGACCCCUUCCUUUGGCAGGGUCAGGACUCAGACAAGAGCCGCCCGGCAUCUGGUUAAGUCUCUACAGACUCUCGGUGGAACGUGAUCGGCUCCCCCGUUUCUGCUGUAGCUCGUGUCGCUGCCGUGCGGAAUUCGCAGGAUCAGUGGCCCUGAGGGGCCCUGCAGUCUGGGCCUGUUGGUCUGCUGCCCCUCGGUGUCACCUUACAAUUCCUGCACCUGGAAGGAGAAGGGGAGGCCGCAGAGCAGCUUUGGCAAAGGCCGUGGUCCGAUCAGCCCAGCCUGGGGCGCUGGAGCUCCCCGGAGCCAGCCUCGGGCAGUCGCUGCGGAAAGUGUCCUUCCAACAUUUCCCGGGUUAUUGCUGGCUAGCGAAGUCGGCGUUUGCUCCUAAGUGUUACGACCUCAUUUGGUGUCCUCUCUGUUUCUUCAUUCUGCGGGUGAGGACUGAGGCUCAGGGAAGAUCAGUUAGCUCAAGGUCACUCGUCUCGUAGACCUGACCCUGUUUCCACGAGGGCCCCACGGUGGGUUGCCUCCCCAGCACUCCAGCUGGGCUAGUCAGCUCUGAUGCAUCCUGCCCUGUAUAAACCCCUCUGGUUGCUUCCCACUGUUCUUCUUGUGAACCCCAGGGUCUUGCCUUGGUCCCAGAGGCCCAGCCCCCACUCCCUGCCUUCCUGAACCUCACUAUCCCCUGCCGCCCUAGUCUUGGGCCCCCUCUCUGUUCCUUGUCCUGCCCAGACCUGCCUCCAGGCCUUUGCACGUGCUCUGCCCUUUGCCCGGAAUUCUCUCCUGACAGCCUCUGAUCUGGCUGGACACGUCUCUGUUCAUCUCAGCUGCACAGAGACUGUCCCUGACCUUCCUGUCUUAAUUCCCUGCUUUUUUCAACUCUCCGCUUACUUUCUGUAGAUGGUUCUGUGCUCUUUAUCAACCUUGUUUUUUCCUGUGGUCAUUCAUUGUGUCUCCUUGACUAAAAGAUUCACCCUCUGAGGCCUAGGCGGGUAGGCCCAUUCAUAGGUCAGAGAAGGGAAUUCCUAAGUAUUUGCUCAGAAAAUGGUGAAUCAGUGAUGGAAACCGGUCUGAAUGAAUGAAUAAAAUCUAAGGUAAAUAUAAAUGAUCUUCCCAAGAAGUCAUAUUGUUAUGGAUAAAAGAAAGAAAAGGCAAGAGCUCGUCCCACCUGCAGAAAUGUGAGCUGUUUGGCCAGACUGCCGUCCUUCCCGGGGAACAGGAAAUCAGCGCCCUGGGGGCUUUAGUGGAAAGAGCAUCUGUACACAGUCUCCACUUUUCAUCCGGUCACUGGAGCUGCG